This 504-nucleotide ribosomal RNA is filed under the name uncultured bacterium. Its description in RNAcentral is "bacterial SSU rRNA". It matches the Rfam family "Bacterial small subunit ribosomal RNA", at positions 351 to 846 of the family's 1533-position model. The record is from RNAcentral.
GCAGUGGGGAAUAUUGGACAAUGGGCGCAAGCCUGAUCCAGCCAUACCGCGUGGGUGAAGAAGGCCUUCGGGUUGUAAAGCCCUUUUGUUGGGAAAGAAAUCUUGCCGGUUAAUACCUGGCGAGGAUGACGGUACCCAAAGAAUAAGCACCGGCUAACUUCGUGCCAGCAGCCGCGGUAAUACGAAGGGUGCAAGCGUUACUCGGAAUUACUGGGCGUAAAGCGUGCGUAGGUGGUGGUUUAAGUCUGCUGUGAAAGCCCUGGGCUCAACCUGGGAAUUGCAGUGGAUACUGGGUCACUAGAGUGUGGUAGAGGGAUGCGGAAUUUCCGGUGUAGCAGUGAAAUGCGUAGAGAUCGGAAGGAACAUCCGUGGCGAAGGCGGCAUCCUGGGCCAACACUGACACUGAGGCACGAAAGCGUGGGGAGCAAACAGGAUUAGAUACCCUGGUAGUCCACGCCCUAAACGAUGCGAACUGGAUGUUGGGUGCAACUUGGCACCCAGUAU